CUCUAGGACCCAGCAGCCCUGCUCUUACAUGCUCCACUGAUUCCCCUCUGUCCAGACUCCCUGCAGAGUGGUGCCCCCAGGCAGAGUGGUGCCCUACACGGCUGCCUAUGGCUAAGGAUGGCCCUGGAUCCACCUCAGUCACCAGCAGCGCCGCGAAGCCCAGAGAGGGGGCCGUGUUCUUUGCGCUGCCCCGCAGCUGCGCUGCCACUUGGAGGAGGCAGUGUCCCUGAUGCAAGCUAGAGGGAAGCCUAUGCAGCAGCUGCUGAGUGCCAGGCAGGAAGAAAGCACAGAGCCUAUCAGCAACAGCCUGGCUGGAGGAGGAGGAGGGAAGACACAGAGAAAAAUGUGACAUCUCUUUCAGGUAUCCUUAGAGGUGGAGAGGCUAUUUCUUGAGAUAGCUGAAGACAAAAUGAAGAGGUCUCCCAGGGGUUUAAGUAGAC
Gopherus evgoodei (Goodes thornscrub tortoise) is the source of this 440-nucleotide long non-coding RNA. RefSeq lists it as uncharacterized. The record is from RefSeq and is a predicted model, not a curated record. The transcript has 3 exons. NCBI's taxonomy places the organism in Eukaryota, Metazoa, Chordata, Testudines, Testudinidae.